GCUGCGGCAUGCCUAAUACAUGCAAGUCGAGCGAACAGAUGAAGUGCUUGCACGUUCUGACGUUAGCGGCGAACGGGUGAGUAACACGUAAGGAAUCUACCUAUAAGCGGGGGAUAACAUUCGGAAACGGGUGCUAAUACCGCAUAAUAUCUUCUUCCGCAUGGAAGAAGAUUGAAAGACGGCUCUGCUGUCACUUAUAGAUGACCUUGCGGUGCAUUAGUUAGUUGGUGGGGUAAUGGCCUACCAAGACGAUGAUGCAUAGCCGACCUGAGAGGGUGAUCGGCCACAUUGGGACUGAGACACGGCCCAAACUCCUACGGGAGGCAGCAGUAGGGAAUCUUCCGCAAUGGGCGAAAGCCUGACGGAGCAAUGCCGCGUGAGUGAAGAAGGCCUUCGGGUCGUAAAACUCUGUUAUAAGAGAAGAACGAAUUGUAGAGUAACUGCUGCAGUCUUGACGGUAUCUUAUCAGAAAGCCACGGCUAACUACGUG
RNAcentral lists this ribosomal RNA (490 nucleotides) under uncultured bacterium. RNAcentral describes it as "bacterial SSU rRNA". It matches the Rfam family "Bacterial small subunit ribosomal RNA", at positions 39 to 507 of the family's 1533-position model. The record is from RNAcentral.